Molecule: ribosomal RNA, 498 nt
Filed under: Veillonella atypica
Lineage: Bacteria; Bacillati; Bacillota; Negativicutes; Veillonellales; Veillonellaceae
Description: bacterial SSU rRNA
Rfam family: Bacterial small subunit ribosomal RNA
Source: RNAcentral
ACGAACGCUGGCGGCGUGCUUAACACAUGCAAGUCGAGCGAAGAGCGAUGGAAGCUUGCUUCUAUCAAUCUUAGUGGCGAACGGGUGAGUAACGCGUAAUCAACCUGCCCUUCAGAGGGGGACAACAGUUGGAAACGACUGCUAAUACCGCAUACGAUCCAAUCUCGGCAUCGAGACUGGAUGAAAGGUGGCCUCUAUUUAUAAGCUAUCACUGAAGGAGGGGACUGCGUCUGAUUAGCUAGUUGGAGGGGUAACGGCCCACCAAGGCGAUGAUCAGUAGCCGGUCUGAGAGGAUGAACGGCCACAUUGGGACUGAGACACGGCCCAGACUCCUACGGGAGGCAGCAGUGGGGAAUCUUCCGCAAUGGACGAAAGUCUGACGGAGCAACGCCGCGUGAGUGAUGACGGCCUUCGGGUUGUAAAGCUCUGUUAAUCGGGACGAAUGGUUCUUGUGCGAAUAGUGCGAGGAUUUGACGGUACCGGAAUAGAAAGCCCGGC